UCUCCGUUGGUGAACCAGCGGAGGGAUCAUUACCGAGUUUACAACUCCCAAACCCCUGUGAACAUACCUUACUGUUGCCUCGGCGGAUCAGCCCGCUCCCGGUAAAACGGGACGGCCCGCCAGAGGACCCCUAAACUCUGAUUUUAUCGUGUAUCUCUGAGGGGCGAAAGCCCGAAAACAAAAUAAAUCAAAACUUUCAACAACGGAUCUCUUGGCUCUG
RNAcentral lists this unclassified non-coding RNA (220 nucleotides) under root metagenome. Its description in RNAcentral is "partial contains small subunit ribosomal RNA, internal transcribed spacer 1, and 5.8S ribosomal RNA". The record is from RNAcentral.